CCUAAGGUAGCGAAAUUCCUUGUCGGGUAAGUUCCGACCUGCACGAAUGGAGUAAUGAUGGCCACACUGUCUCCUCCAGAGACUCAGCGAAGUUGAAAUGUUUGUGAUGAUGCAAUCUCCCCGCGGAAAGACGGAAAGACCCCAUGAACCUUUACUGUAGCUUUACAUUGGACUUUGAACAGAUCUGUGUAGGAUAGGUGGGAGGCUUUGAAGCGGUGCCGCUAGGUGUCGUGGAGCCAACGUUGAAAUACCACCCUGGUGUGUUUGAGGUUCUAACCUUGGCCCGUUAUCCGGGUUGGGGACAGUGUAUGGUGGGCAGUUUGACUGGGGCGGUCUCCUCCCAAAGCGUAACGGAGGAGUUCGAAGGUACGCUAGGCACGGUCGGAAAUCGUGCUGAUAGUGCAUUGGCAUAAGCGUGCUUGACUGCGAGACUGACAAGUCGAGCAGGUACGAAAGUAGGACAAAGUGAUCCGGUGGUUCUGUAUGGAAGGGCCAUCGCUCAACGGAUAAAAGGUACUCUGGGGAUAACAGGCUGAUACCGCCCAAGAGUUCAUAUCGACGGCGGUGUUUGGCACCUCGAUGUCGGCUCAUCUCAUCCUGGGGCUGUAGCCGGUCCCAAGGGUAUGGCUGUUCGCCAUUUAAAGAGGUACGUGAGCUGGGUUUAAAACGUCGUGAGACAGUUUGGUCCCUAUCUUCCGUGGGCGCUGCAAGAUUGAGAGAGCCUGCUCCUAGUACGAGAGGACCGGAGUGGACGCACCUCUGGUGUAUCGGUUGUCACGCCAGUGGCAUUGCCGAGUAGCUAAGUGCGGAAGAGAUAACCGCUGAAAGCAUCUAAGCGGGAAACUCGUCUCAAGAUGAGUCUUGCCGGGGCCUUGAGCCCCCUGAAGGGUCGUUCGAGACCAGGACGUUGAUAGGCUGGGUGUGGAAGCGCAGUAAUGCGUUAAGCUAACCAGUACUAAUUGCCCGUGAGGCUUGACCCU
RNAcentral lists this ribosomal RNA (980 nucleotides) under metagenomes. Its description in RNAcentral is "bacterial LSU rRNA". It matches the Rfam family "Bacterial large subunit ribosomal RNA", at positions 1950 to 2925 of the family's 2925-position model. The record is from RNAcentral.